Molecule: transfer RNA, 89 nt
Filed under: Sphingobacteriales bacterium 41-5
Lineage: Bacteria; Pseudomonadati; Bacteroidota; Sphingobacteriia; Sphingobacteriales
Description: tRNA-Leu
Rfam family: tRNA
About the family: Transfer RNA (tRNA) molecules are approximately 80 nucleotides in length. Their secondary structure includes four short double-helical elements and three loops (D, anti-codon, and T loops).
Source: RNAcentral
GCCCGGGUGGUGAAAUUGGUAGACACGCUACUUUGAGGUGGUAGUGCUGGUAAUACGGCGUGCUGGUUCGAAUCCAGUCUCGGGCACAA